RNAcentral lists this ribosomal RNA (497 nucleotides) under uncultured bacterium. RNAcentral describes it as "partial 16S ribosomal RNA". It matches the Rfam family "Bacterial small subunit ribosomal RNA", at positions 28 to 507 of the family's 1533-position model. The record is from RNAcentral.
GAUGAACGCUGGCGGCGUGCCUAAUACAUGCAAGUCGAGCGAACAGACGAGGAGCUUGCUCCUUUGACGUUAGCGGCGGACGGGUGAGUAACACGUAGGUAACCUACCUACAAGACUGGGAUAACUUCGGGAAACCGGAGCUAAUACCGGAUAAUAUUUCGAACCGCAUGGUUCGAUAGUGAAAGAUGGCUUUGCUAUCACUUAUAGAUGGACCUGCGCCGUAUUAGCUAGUUGGUAAGGUAACGGCUUACCAAGGCAACGAUACGUAGCCGACCUGAGAGGGUGAUCGGCCACACUGGAACUGAGACACGGUCCAGACUCCUACGGGAGGCAGCAGUAGGGAAUCUUCCGCAAUGGGCGAAAGCCUGACGGAGCAACGCCGCGUGAGUGAUGAAGGUCUUCGGAUCGUAAAACUCUGUUAUUAGGGAAGAACAAACGUGUAAGUAACUGUGCACGUCUUGACGGUACCUAAUCAGAAAGCCACGGCUAACUACGUG